Rhagoletis pomonella (apple maggot) is the source of this 312-nucleotide long non-coding RNA. RefSeq lists it as uncharacterized. The transcript has 2 exons. Lineage: Eukaryota; Metazoa; Arthropoda; Insecta; Diptera; Tephritidae. The record is from RefSeq and is a predicted model, not a curated record.
CAUUUGCGGGUAUACAAAACAAGGGGCAGUGUCUACUGUGUAAACAAAAAGGGCACCAUCUGGCCAAGACAACAUUAUCGCGCUUGUCUACUGAAUUUUUCUGAUCACUUAGUCGACUUUUGUCUUAUUACCAAAAUUAGAGACUUUGCUAAAGCGCCAUAAGCUAAUGUACUACUUAUUCAAAUGUGUUAAGUACUCCAAAAAAUUUUAAAUCCUUUUAAAUAUAAGUUGCUUGUGCAUAUAAGUUGUAAAUGCCACUAAAUCAGAUUGUAAAUAAAAUUGCUUACUCGGCCUUGUAUAUUAAUUAUAGAA